UGCUAGCAUGCACACUUAUGGUUGGUCCCAAACGAUCCUUGGCAGAUACUCGCGGUAAUGACUCACUGACAGACAUCGGCUGUCCUUCGGGUGUAGGUGUUUUACUCUUUCCCAUGAAAAAUGAAUAGAAUAAAACACACUCUGUGAUUGAAAAAUACUCAAGACACUAAAACAAAAGCCCUCCUUCUAGCGCCAAUGUUAACGCCAAGAUCUUUCUCCACGUCCCAAUCACGAAAGACGUCCUGAUCCUGCACAGUAAACACGAC
This 266-nucleotide long non-coding RNA is filed under the name Panax ginseng (ginseng). RNAcentral's name for it is "long non-coding RNA (PGIN_LNC005521)". The record is from RNAcentral. Lineage: Eukaryota; Viridiplantae; Streptophyta; Magnoliopsida; Apiales; Araliaceae.